UAAAAGUCGUAACAAGGUUUCCGUAGGUGAACCUGCGGAAGGAUCAUUACCGUUCGUCAUCUUUUGACAAAACCACUGUGAAUCGUACCAAGCAGGAGGGGUAACGCGUUUCGUGUUUUAAAUGAUCGAGCGAUCGAUCGGCCCCACUGCGCAUCCAACUAUGUGAUUUUUUCUAACACACUUGUGUUCUCCUGUGUUGCUUUGCAAAAAGCAAAAACUAAACGUGACAACUUCUAACGGUGGAUCUCUUGGCUCGUGCAUCGAUGAAGAACGUAGCCAGUUGCGAUAAGUAGUGUGAAUUGCAGAAUUCAGUGAAUCAUCGAAUCUUUGAACGCAAAUUGCGCUCUCUGGAUAUCCAGGGAGCAUGCCUGUCUGAGCGUCGUUAAUCAAUCUACACACUCCGGUGUGGAUAGGGAGUUCAUGCGCGUACGUCAGUUUGCGCCUGUCUUUCCAUGUUUCUGAACCCUGUGGUACUCCGUCGGUACUGCUUGGAAGGCUCAACUCGUUUCUGUCCUUCUGACGCGUGUGCACUGUACGAGUAGUACUGCUCUCGGGUUGAUUCGCUUGCAGCAACCCUGCUGCUAGCAAUUCUUUGUUUUGACCUCAGAUCAGACAAGACUACCCGCUGAAUUUAAGCAUAUCAAUA
This 646-nucleotide ribosomal RNA is filed under the name uncultured eukaryote. Its description in RNAcentral is "eukaryotic LSU rRNA". The stretch from base 229 to 382 matches the Rfam family "5.8S ribosomal RNA". The record is from RNAcentral.